RNAcentral lists this ribosomal RNA (468 nucleotides) under uncultured bacterium. Its description in RNAcentral is "partial 16S ribosomal RNA". It matches the Rfam family "Bacterial small subunit ribosomal RNA", at positions 28 to 507 of the family's 1533-position model. The record is from RNAcentral.
GACGAACGCUGGCGGCGUGCUUAACACAUGCAAGUCGAACGGUAAAGCCCCAGCUUGUUGGGGUGGAUCAGUGGCGAACGGGUGAGUAACACGUGAGCAACCUGCCUCUGACUCUGGAAUAAUCGCUGGAAACGGCGUUUAUUACUGGAUACGAGAACGGUCCGCAUGGGCACUUUCUGGAAAGUUUGGCGGUUGGGGAUGGGCUCGCGGCUUAUCAGCUUGUUGGUGGGGUAGUGGCUCACCAAGGCGACGACGGGUAGCCGGCCUGAGAGGGUGACCGGCCACAAUGGGACUGAGACACGGCCCAGACUCCUACGGGAGGCAGCAGUGGGGAAUAUUGCACAAUGGGCGGAAGCCUGAUGCAGCGACGCCGCGUGAGGGAUGACGGCCUUCGGGUUGUAAACCGCUUUCGGCUGGGAAGAAGCGUGAGUGACGGUACCUGCAGAAGAAGCACCGGCUAACUACGUG